AUCGAGGACUAGGGGGGCCUUAAGUAGAACUGUCAUGGUCAUGUGUUGAACUGUUGAACAUGAUCAUGUGUUGGACUGUUGAUCGAUCAAAUAAGGUUUGUGCCACAUCGUUGGUCUUUUUUCUUGUUAAUUUGAAUUUGUGUUAUGUGCCAAUCGCUGCUUAUACAAAGCCGGUUGUAUACUAUCCACUUGAUACUACAUUAUGAGACACCAAUUGUAAAAAACAUUAUGUGAUAAUCACCAUCAGACGUGUAAAUUAUGAUAAAAAAGGCAACAAGAUCGUAA
RNAcentral lists this long non-coding RNA (285 nucleotides) under Hordeum vulgare. RNAcentral describes it as "long non-coding RNA (HVUL_LNC008813)". The record is from RNAcentral. Lineage: Eukaryota; Viridiplantae; Streptophyta; Magnoliopsida; Poales; Poaceae.